RNAcentral lists this ribosomal RNA (124 nucleotides) under Otolemur garnettii (small-eared galago). Lineage: Eukaryota; Metazoa; Chordata; Mammalia; Primates; Galagidae. The record is from RNAcentral.
UUUUAGGGCCAUCCUACCCCAAACAUGUCUGAUCUCGUCUGAUCAGGGAAGGAAGGUAAGCAGGGUCAGGCCUGGUUAAUGUUUGGCAUGGGAGACUGCCUGGGACUACCGGGUGCUGUAGGCU